GACCAGCUUGGCCCCGGUCUCGGGUACCGGGCAGUCGGGGAAUAUGGGCUUGAUGAGGCGACACCGAUAGGAAAUGACAGAGAGGGGUGUGUGUGCAUGCCACAAAGGUUGGCGGCUGGAAUCAAACCGGUGACGGUUGCGACCACGUGGCCAUGUGGUAUGGGGCUGUAACCAUUCAGCUAUGGAGGGCCCCAAGUAAAGCCAUGUUGUCUGUGCUGGUGUGGAAGAAAUUAGGCCGGUGGCUCAGGUGAGGCCCAUCAUAUCA
Molecule: long non-coding RNA, 265 nt
Organism: Lampris incognitus (smalleye Pacific opah)
Lineage: Eukaryota; Metazoa; Chordata; Actinopteri; Lampriformes; Lampridae
Exons: 3
Source: RefSeq, a predicted model, not a curated record